Carassius auratus (goldfish) is the source of this 1700-nucleotide long non-coding RNA. The record is from Ensembl. NCBI's taxonomy places the organism in Eukaryota, Metazoa, Chordata, Actinopteri, Cypriniformes, Cyprinidae.
AUGAUUGAAAAAUCCAGGGCAAACUAUCCUCGCGUGCGUGCGACACUCCCACAACGGCUCACCACCGACACGGGUCCCGGUGAAAACGGGACAGAUCACACAGUUGCAACAUCCACUGUUCCUGUGUCCCCCUCUCCAGCCUUAUCCACCCCUUCAAAUGAUGGGAAACCAGAUUUCUUCUCAGAAAAGAUGACAGCAGCAGCGUCUCCUCCUACAUCAGCGGAGCUGCGGCGCACACUAGCUUGAAUCCAAACGGAUGAUUGACAGGGAACGAGGGCUCCAGCAGGAGAGGGGAGGCGGGAACUGUGAAGAAAAUGUUCUGGAGGCGCAUUUCUUUUAUCUGUCUAUGCGGAUAACAGGAAGAAACUGUCAAGUUUGGUCGACGGCACAAGUCAGUCAGGCGUUCAGAAAGUGCUCGCUUCCCGGGGUGUGUCUCUUAUUCUUAUUGCAUUGAAGUCUCGCAUUAUAGAACACAUUUAUACAUAUAAAGCUCGCUCUAUAUAAAUAUACUUUAAUGGUUCAAAAGGGAAAUUGUGAAUACGAUUUAUAAUAAUAAUAAUAAAUAAUAAUAAUAAUAAUAAUAAUAAUUGUAAAAAUAAUAAUCAUUAAACGAAAUAAUUAUGAUUUGCUGUUUCACUUACUGUAUCAGAUCAAGUACUUUAUUAAUCCCGCGGAUAAAAAAAAAGUGAAUAACGAUCAUUAAAGUGAAAAUAUGAGAUUCGAUUAUUAUUAUUAGGAUUGUUGUUGUUAUGAUUACUAAUGCUACUAAAGUAUUUUUUUUUUAUAUCUGAAUAGCCACAUGAAAAUGUGAAAUCUAUUGCUAGCAUAUCAUUCUGGAAUUACUGUCCCUCACAAAACGAUAGUAAUGUAUACUUCUUAGUUAUGAAGGCAGAAAUUAAAGGAGUAAGUUAUGAAAAUCUUGUGCAUGUAACAAGAAAUAUGACAAGGCUAUAUUUUGAUAUCGCGUGUGACUGUAGGUAGGAUGUUAAUAAUUUAACGGUGUUGUAAUUAAACAUCACAAUUGUUAAACUCUGCCUACAUCUAGUGGGCACAUCUGGAAGUACAUGUUGAAAAAAUUAUAUUAAUCUUAAUCAAGUCCUCCUGGUGGAUGCUGUAUGUUAUGCAGGCAUUUUAUUUUUUAAGAUUCAUGGAAAUAUAUAAAAUAUAGCAGAUAAAUCUAUACAGAACACCUGUAGUGCUAUCAUGUAAAUCAAUGAUUGUGAUGUAGACAAAAAUAUGCCCAUAUUUAUUUUUGUCAAUACAUUAUUCCAUUCUUAUGAUGACCAUUUUUCAUAUGAUUAAUCUUUUAUGAAAAUCAAAAAGCAAAACGACUUAUCUUUUUAAUUAUGAAUUAUAUCAAUCACGUAAAUGGCAGUCUAUAUUAUCAAUUCAAAACAAUGACAUUUAACCAAAAACAAAGAAAUAAAAGGAAUGAAAAUAAAUAAAGGGUUGUAUGCAUCCCUUAUAAAAGUUGUCAACUUGUUUAGAUAUUUACAUCUUACCUCACACUUUUUCACCAUUAAAAACAGAUUCUCCCCACUGAAGCCCACCUUCUUUGAUUUGAUUGGUCAUCUCAAUCAUUGAAGAGGAAGAUAUUUAUUGUCAAAUAUUCAAGGGACAAUUUGGCCAUUUCUUAUUACUGUCCCCCUCAGACAAAAAAAUCCAUUUAGCUCUGAAACGACAUGAGAAUGAGUAAAUUA